RNAcentral lists this long non-coding RNA (1740 nucleotides) under Sus scrofa (pig). Its description in RNAcentral is "lncRNA (ENSSSCG00065078885.1)". The record is from RNAcentral. Lineage: Eukaryota; Metazoa; Chordata; Mammalia; Artiodactyla; Suidae.
GUCAAAAUGAGGUUUUCCAGCGACUUCAGGGCGGAGAGCAGGAGGGAGGAGGUUUGCUCUGACAAGGGAACAAGACCUUCUGUGGGUUCCCACCCCGCUCUGUGCUGUGCCCCACGCGGUCACACCAGCAGUCUCCAUCGUCCCAUGGGCACUGCUGGGAGCCCAGGAGCUGCCCGCGGUGCCCGGGGUUCAGGGAAACACAGACAGCUGGGGACUCUGCUCACAGUCCAGCUGGAGAAGCGGGCAGAGAGAGAGGAGAGAAGAAACGACCCAAGGUUGUGCCAAGUGCCCGGAGGCGGAGGAGGCAGGGGGCGUCUUCGUGGAGAGACUGGGAAGGAUUUCUCCGACGUGUGGGGUGACUGAAGUCAGUACGAAGCCGACCUGACGUUCCCCCUGCCUGGUUUAAGGUGGUUACUCUGGAUCUUGGAAUAGGAAGCAGGCUUCCUUCUGGGAGGGGAGCCUGGCUCGGGAAGCCCCGCAGACCCAGCCCACCUGACCUCAUGUCUGACUCACUAGCCCCAGGAAGAUGAAGAGAGCAGGGUCCAGAGGAGGCGUGAUGGAGGUAACAUCUGGGCCGCAGGUGAAAGGAAGGGCGGAUUCUGUCCUCUGGUUGCAGCUUGGUCACGGCAGAAACGCUCACAUCAAAAGCGCAAAAGUGCGCUCAAACCUACAAGACUUGGCACCAAGGCGCUGAGCAGGAGAUGCCUGCGUAUAAGCAGAGCGGCAGUUAAGGGGGUUGAAGCCCCGCUGUGAGUUUGAGGGCACCCGCCCGGGCACCCGCCUCCUCCUCUUCUGCAAGAUAAGCAUGUGGUCUCGCGGUGCGGAGCUCCCCAGAGCCACGGAACAACGGGCGAGCACUCUCCAGCCACCUCUCUCUAGCUCUGCAGCUCUAUCUGUCCAUGGCUGUGAGCUGCGUGUCUGUCCAUGUGUCUGUCUAUAAAGGAGGGGAGAGACGCUUAUUUUAAGGAGUUGGCUCCCCUAAUCAGGGGAACCAGCGGGUCUUAAACCCGAGGAGCGAGCUGGCCUUCUGGGACUCGGGUGAGAGCUGGCGCUGUGGUCUUGAGUCUGGCGGCUGGUCACCCAGGCAGGGUUUCCGUGUGGCUGAGGAGAGUCCCUUCUGCUUUGAGGAACCGUGGGUUUGCUCUCAAGGCCGUCGACUGUUUGGCUGAGGCCCGUCCCAUGGAGGCUGAGCUGCUUUACUUAAAGUCAACUAUUGGCGUCCCCGUCGUGGCCCAGCGGAUACAAACGUGACAAGUAUCCAUGAGGACUCAGGUUCGAUCCCUGGCCUUGCUCAGUGGGUUAAGGAUCCAGUGUCGCCAUGAGCUGUGGUGUAGGUUGCAGAUGAGGCUCAGAUCCAGUGUUGCUGUGACUGUUGUGUAGGCCGGCAGCUGUAGCUCUGAUGAGACCCCUCGCCUGGGAACCUCUUUGUGCUGCAGGUGUGGCCCUAAAGAAAAGGAAAAAAAAAAAAAAAGUCAACUGACUGGGAACAUCAGUCACAUCUAACCAUACCUUCGAGGCACCAUCUAGGCUAGUGUUUGACCAAACGCCCAGGCACUGUCACCUUGCCAAUGGACACACACACCUGCAGCCAUCACACCUGCACACGCGACUGCAGCCAUCACACCUGCACACGCAACUGCAGCCAUCACACCUGUGCUCCCCGUGGGUACUCGAGCACUGGCUACAUGACCGCAUUGCAGCUUCUCUGGUCAUUGUUGUGGCUCGGGGCUCAGAGAACAG